GGUGCUGUGGCUUAGCUGGUCGAAGCGCCUCUCUUGUAAACAGGAGAUCCUGGGCUCAAAUCCUAUCAGCGCCU
Danio rerio (zebrafish) is the source of this 74-nucleotide non-coding RNA. NCBI's taxonomy places the organism in Eukaryota, Metazoa, Chordata, Actinopteri, Cypriniformes, Danionidae. The record is from Rfam.